CAUGCAAGUCGAACGCGAAAGUCCCCUUCGGGGGAUAAGUAAAGUGGCCUCCGGGUGAGUAACACGUAGGUAAUCUACCUUCGGGUGGGGAAUAACGCAGGGAAACUUGCGCUAAUACCGCAUAAUGCAGCGGCACCACAUGGUGACAGUUGUUAAAGCGGGAGAUUUUCGGACCUCGCGCCUGAAGAGGAGUCUGCGGCAGAUUAGCUAGUUGGUAGGGUAACGGCUUACCAAGGCGACGAUCUGUAGCCGGCCUGAGAGGGCGGUCGGCCACACUGACACUGACAUACGGGUCAGACUCCUACGGGAGGCAGCAGUGGG
RNAcentral lists this small RNA (321 nucleotides) under uncultured bacterium. RNAcentral's name for it is "bacterial SSU rRNA". It matches the Rfam family "Bacterial small subunit ribosomal RNA", at positions 54 to 358 of the family's 1533-position model. The record is from RNAcentral.